CUUAACCCACUGCACCACAGUGGGAACUCCAGUGCUACUUAUUGCUUCACCCAAGACGGACCCUCCUCUUUUCCUGCCGCGACGCCAUUGAUUUUGGAACGGGAGGGACAGAACUUUAUCCAACGAAUAUUCACUAAGCAUCUGCGACGCGGGAGGCCCCGGAUGAGGGACCAGAGGCCACCAGAUUCGGUCCCUGCUUUCAAGUCCUGGCCAGUCUGGAAGGGGAGAGGAGCAACACCCAGAGAGUUGGAGUGCAGGGCAGGCGGGCUUGGCGGAGACGCCGAGGAGCAGGUGACCUUUGUCCUGGGCUUCGAAGAGAGACGAGUUUCUCGAUAGGGGACAUGGUACAUAAAAUACAAAAAUAGAACAUUUUAGAAAGGUU
This is a long non-coding RNA of Phacochoerus africanus (Common warthog), 382 nucleotides long. RefSeq lists it as uncharacterized. The transcript has 2 exons. Lineage: Eukaryota; Metazoa; Chordata; Mammalia; Artiodactyla; Suidae. The record is from RefSeq and is a predicted model, not a curated record.